GUCCUAAUGGCGGAAUGGUAGACGCGUUAGUUUCAGAUGCUAAUAAUCAUUGAUUGUGGGGGUUCAAGUCCCCCUUGGGACACCA
Molecule: transfer RNA, 85 nt
Filed under: Rickettsiales bacterium
Lineage: Bacteria; Pseudomonadati; Pseudomonadota; Alphaproteobacteria; Rickettsiales
Description: tRNA-Leu
Rfam family: tRNA
About the family: Transfer RNA (tRNA) molecules are approximately 80 nucleotides in length. Their secondary structure includes four short double-helical elements and three loops (D, anti-codon, and T loops).
Source: RNAcentral